GUAUUUGCUUCAACAGUACGUAUACAAAAAUUGGAACAAUGUAGAGAAUAUUAGCAUGGUCCCUGGGCAAGAUGACAUACAAAUUCAUGAAGUGUUCCAUAUUUUU
Molecule: small nuclear RNA, 106 nt
Organism: Prolemur simus (greater bamboo lemur)
Lineage: Eukaryota; Metazoa; Chordata; Mammalia; Primates; Lemuridae
Source: Ensembl